GGACGGUGACGAUUCUAUGUGAUAGGUCUCGUUCGUCGUAAUUGGCUCAAUUGGGCCUUGCCGACCAUACUGAUAUAUCACCACCCAUACUCUGAGCCC
Small nucleolar RNA from Corylus avellana, 99 nucleotides. RefSeq annotates it as small nucleolar RNA Z43. The record is from RefSeq and is a predicted model, not a curated record. Lineage: Eukaryota; Viridiplantae; Streptophyta; Magnoliopsida; Fagales; Betulaceae.